This 73-nucleotide transfer RNA is filed under the name Bos taurus (domestic cattle). It matches the Rfam family "tRNA". From Rfam's summary of the family: Transfer RNA (tRNA) molecules are approximately 80 nucleotides in length. Their secondary structure includes four short double-helical elements and three loops (D, anti-codon, and T loops). Further hydrogen bonds mediate the characteristic L-shaped molecular structure. tRNAs have two regions of fundamental functional importance: the anti-codon, which is responsible for specific mRNA codon recognition, and the 3' end, to which the tRNAs corresponding amino acid is attached (by aminoacyl-tRNA synthetases). tRNAs cope with the degeneracy of the genetic code in two manners: having more than one tRNA (with a specific anti-codon) for a particular amino acid; and 'wobble' base-pairing, i.e. permitting non-standard base-pairing at the 3rd anti-codon position. The record is from Rfam by way of RNAcentral. RNAcentral also lists the same sequence under 3 other names. Lineage: Eukaryota; Metazoa; Chordata; Mammalia; Artiodactyla; Bovidae.
UCCCUGGCAGUCCAGUGAUUAGGACUUUGCCCUUUCACUGCCAAAGGCCUGGGUUCAAUUCCUGGUUGGGGAA